GAAAUGGGCACAGUUAACCUGAGCCUUCAUCUCCUCAGAGGAUGAGGCUGGAGCAAUCCAACCCCUCCAUCACAAAGGAGUUGGAACGACGAUUGUGGAGGCCUCAACUCCUCCGCUCCACCCAAACCUCCCCCAGCCCUCAAGAAGGGGAGUACGAGUGGAGAUAUCCCUCCCCUGACCCCUCCUUAAGGGGAGGAGGACAGAUAUGACACUUCCCCUAAUCCCCACAGGAAACAAGGAGAGAAAUGAUCCUUACCGACAAUCGACAAUUUAGGGUGCGGAGGCCCCGACAGAGAUUUCUCCGCUCCACGGAGUUCUCCUCCAGCCCUCACCAAGGGUGAGGGCGGAGGCAGCCCGGCCCCUCCGGCCCGGAGGAGAGCGACACGGCCCGCUCGGUAACGUGAGGGGAACGGAGAGCUCCCGGUGCCCCCAAAUGAAAGAUGGAGAUCCCCAGCAAUCCUCCAGGAUGAGAAGGUUGGAGUCUGCCCCGCUAAUCCUGCAGGGAUUCCCUCACGGCAUCUCCCAGGACGAGGAGCACUGGAGAGCCCGACAUCACCUCCAUCCCCAUCAUUCCCUGGGGCGCCAUUAAAGGCACAGGUACAACCCCCCGAGUCCAUCUCCAACGUCCGCUAUGAGACGGACAGAGACCCCGCGAGCGUCCCCCGGCUUGCACAUGAAAUAAAGUUGAUCAAAAUCUGGCAACUCAUAA
Molecule: long non-coding RNA, 709 nt
Organism: Parus major (Great Tit)
Lineage: Eukaryota; Metazoa; Chordata; Aves; Passeriformes; Paridae
Exons: 2
Source: RefSeq, a predicted model, not a curated record